Xiphophorus couchianus (Monterrey platyfish) is the source of this 440-nucleotide long non-coding RNA. RefSeq lists it as uncharacterized. The record is from RefSeq and is a predicted model, not a curated record. The transcript is spliced from 5 exons. Lineage: Eukaryota; Metazoa; Chordata; Actinopteri; Cyprinodontiformes; Poeciliidae.
UAUAUAUAUAUAAAUAAUAUCAAAUAUUCCUAAAUACAAUUGAUAUUCAAGUGGACUUUCAGAUGAUUAUUAAAAUAAAGUGUAUUUGACUCCACAUCAUACUUAAAUGUCAGCUUAAUCUAAAAGAAGUUAAUAAAAUAUGAAUGAUACUCGGAUGUUUAGGUUAUUUUUUUUAGAGAACUCAGACGCUGCGGGUUCAUUUUUACCUUUUUUUGAUUUUAAAAUAAUCACACUGAUAAAUACUUCUAUUUUAAACUCUGCACACACAACUGAUCAUUGUCAAAGCCUCGAAGAGUUCUUGCUUGAACGGAGCUUGAACGGAACUUCCUUUUUUCCUACCCAAGCAGACUCCAGAGCUAUCUCAACUCUGCUUCUACUUGAACACUACUAAAGUAGUCAACGUAAAGUUUUAUUUUUCUCAGUUUUUUUGUUAAAAGAGA